GGGAUAUUGCGCAAUGGGGGCAACCCUGACGCAGCAACGCCGCGUGAAGGAUGAAGGUUUUCGGAUUGUAAACUUCUUUUCUUAGGGACGAAGAAUGACGGUACCUAAGGAAUAAGCUCCGGCUAACUACGUGCCAGCAGCCGCGGUAAUACGUAGGGAGCAAGCGUUGUCCGGAUUUACUGGGUGUAAAGGGUGCGUAGGCGGCUAUGUAAGUCAGAUGUGAAAUCUAUGGGCUCAACCCAUAAACUGCAUUUGAAACUACAGAGCUUGAGUGAAGUAGAGGCAGGCGGAAUUCCCGGUGUAGCGGUGAAAUGCGUAGAGAUAGGGAGGAACACCAGUGGCGAAGGCGGCCUGCUGGGCUGUAACUGACGCUGAGGCACGAAAGCGUGGGUAGCAAACA
This 400-nucleotide ribosomal RNA is filed under the name uncultured bacterium. Its description in RNAcentral is "bacterial SSU rRNA". It matches the Rfam family "Bacterial small subunit ribosomal RNA", at positions 358 to 774 of the family's 1533-position model. The record is from RNAcentral.